CGUAACGGCAGAAAAAACAUUUUGACCUACCGUAUGGUGUGAUCGAACUUCCCAGACGUAACAGCUGUGGGGAAAAAAGAUGACACAUUACAACACCCGCAAAAAAACGCAACUUAGAAAGUGCAGAGGAUGAAGCUCCAGUGACUACAAUGAAGCCAAUAAAGCAAGAAAUACUGAUGUGGCAAAACAAGGCGGAAGUAUUACAAAAUAAAGUGAAUGAGUUGGAAGCCUUGAACACCGAGCUUCGGCAGCAAGUAGUGGAGCUUUCAGCGCAGCAAAAUGACCUGAUUCCUAGUACAUCAGUGGUACGUGAAGAAACUGGUGCUGUUGACCUAUCUAGUGAUGGGAACACAUCAACUGAUGUAGAGUCAUCAGUCACAGAAGAUUCAUGUGAUGACUCUUCUGACUCUUCAAGUUCAAGUUCAGAAGAGACUCAUCAAAGAAGAAAAACAAAGAAAAGCAA
This is a long non-coding RNA of Sinocyclocheilus anshuiensis, 463 nucleotides long. RefSeq lists it as uncharacterized. The transcript has 4 exons. The record is from RefSeq and is a predicted model, not a curated record. NCBI's taxonomy places the organism in Eukaryota, Metazoa, Chordata, Actinopteri, Cypriniformes, Cyprinidae.